Molecule: ribosomal RNA, 269 nt
Filed under: uncultured bacterium
Lineage: Bacteria
Description: partial 16S ribosomal RNA
Rfam family: Bacterial small subunit ribosomal RNA
Source: RNAcentral
UACGGAGGGAGCAAGCGUUACUCGGAAUUAUUGGGCGUAAAGGGCGCGUAGGCGAUUUAACAAGUCUUGUGUGAAAGCCCCCGGGCUUAACUCGGGAAGUGCACAAGAAACUGUUGAAUUUGAGUUCCGGAGAGGAAGGCAGAAUUCCCGGUGUAGCGGUGAAAUGCGUAGAUAUCGGGAGGAAUACCAGUGGCGAAGGCGGCCUUCUGGACGGAUACUGACGCUGAGGCGCGAAAGCCAGGGGAGCAAAGCGGGAUUAGAUGACCCUA